This 597-nucleotide ribosomal RNA is filed under the name Streptococcus mutans. RNAcentral describes it as "bacterial SSU rRNA". It matches the Rfam family "Bacterial small subunit ribosomal RNA", at positions 368 to 957 of the family's 1533-position model. Lineage: Bacteria; Bacillati; Bacillota; Bacilli; Lactobacillales; Streptococcaceae. The record is from RNAcentral.
GCAAUGGACGAAAGUCUGACCGAGCAACGCCGCGUGAGUGAAGAAGGUUUUCGGAUCGUAAAGCUCUGUUGUAAGUCAAGAACGUGUGUGAGAGUGGAAAGUUCACACAGUGACGGUAGCUUACCAGAAAGGGACGGCUAACUACGUGCCAGCAGCCGCGGUAAUACGUAGGUCCCGAGCGUUGUCCGGAUUUAUUGGGCGUAAAGGGAGCGCAGGCGGUCAGGAAAGUCUGGAGUAAAAGGCUAUGGCUCAACCAUAGUGUGCUCUGGAAACUGUCUGACUUGAGUGCAGAAGGGGAGAGUGGAAUUCCAUGUGUAGCGGUGAAAUGCGUAGAUAUAUGGAGGAACACCAGUGGCGAAAGCGGCUCUCUGGUCUGUCACUGACGCUGAGGCUCGAAAGCGUGGGUAGCGAACAGGAUUAGAUACCCUGGUAGUCCACGCCGUAAACGAUGAGUGCUAGGUGUUAGGCCCUUUCCGGGGCUUAGUGCCGGAGCUAACGCAAUAAGCACUCCGCCUGGGGAGUACGACCGCAAGGUUGAAACUCAAAGGAAUUGACGGGGGCCCGCACAACGGUGGAGCAUGUGGUUUAAUUCGAAGC